UACACUCCUACGGGAGGCAGCAGUGGGGAAUAUUGCACAAUGGGCGCAAGCCUGAUGCAGCCAUGCCGCGUGUAUGAAGAAGGCCUUCGGGUUGUAAAGUACUUUCAGCGGGGAGGAAGGCAAUACGGUUAAUAACCGUGUUGAUUGACGUUACCCGCAGAAGAAGCACCGGCUAACUCCGUGCCAGCAGCCGCGGUAAUACGGAGGGUGCAAGCGUUAAUCGGAAUUACUGGGCGUAAAGCGCACGCAGGCGGUCUGUCAAGUCGGAUGUGAAAUCCCCGGGCUCAACCUGGGAACUGCAUUCGAAACUGGCAGGCUUGAGUCUUGUAGAGGGGGGUAGAAUUCCAGGUGUAGCGGUGAAAUGCGUAGAGAUCUGGAGGAAUACCGGUGGCGAAGGCGGCCCCCUGGACAAAGACUGACGCUCAGGUGCGAAAGCGUGGGGAGCAAACAGGAUUAGAUACCCCAGUAGUCCC
This 473-nucleotide ribosomal RNA is filed under the name uncultured organism. Its description in RNAcentral is "partial 16S ribosomal RNA". It matches the Rfam family "Bacterial small subunit ribosomal RNA", at positions 332 to 797 of the family's 1533-position model. The record is from RNAcentral.